RNAcentral lists this long non-coding RNA (527 nucleotides) under Gopherus evgoodei (Goodes thornscrub tortoise). Its description in RNAcentral is "lncRNA (ENSGEVG00005010361.1)". The record is from RNAcentral. Lineage: Eukaryota; Metazoa; Chordata; Testudines; Testudinidae.
AGGUGACCCACCUCGCUAGAGUAUUCUAUUCUAUCUACGACAACUACUAACUAUUAGUAGGCUGUACUCAUUUCUUUUCAAACUUUAAGUUUCAAGGGGACUAGGCUAAGCUUGGUUUCCCUAAGCUUCUGUUCUUAGUUUUGUUUAUUAGGUUUUAAGUUUGUUAGUUAAGUAAAUUCUAAGUUAGCUUCGAUGCUCUAGUUUCUUCUAAACUUUGCACCUCUCAAGAAUUGAAGAACCUGAACCGCCAGAGGCGAAGCUGGUCCUGUGUCUCUUACCACCAGGUUAUCCAGGAAGGGUGUGCCCCAGAGCAGUUUCCACUGCAAGAGUUAGAGGGUGGCAGCCCAAUUACCGGGCAGGCAAAGGAUGAAAUUCCUGGAUGCAGCUCUGCCGUUAAUCACUAGCCUCUUUCCAGUUAACGCCUGAUUUCAGAUUCCCCUUUUUCUCAGAAGCCCUUCUCUUCAGGCUGGGUCUCUCGCCAAGUGACUGGUAUGUCCCUGACAGGGGAGCCAAAAAUUAAUAAUGAA